This is a long non-coding RNA of Mauremys reevesii (Reeves's turtle), 1642 nucleotides long. RefSeq lists it as uncharacterized. The transcript has 3 exons. The record is from RefSeq and is a predicted model, not a curated record. Lineage: Eukaryota; Metazoa; Chordata; Testudines; Geoemydidae.
AGUCACUCACUAAGCACAGAGAAGUGGGUAGGAAUAAAGCCAGGUGGCGAUAACAACCUUGGGAUCCUAGCUCUGUGGGAAAGGUUUACCCAGAGUAGUUGAGGGGAAGAAAGCCUGUAGAAGGCCAACUAGGAAGAAGCCCAGGGAAAAUGCUGCAAGGGUUGAGACUGUGAAGAUCUUGUCCGCUGAUGACAGGGUUCCUGGGCUGGAACCCAGAGUAGUGGGUGGGGCCAAGUUUCCCUAUCAGCCACUGGAGUUGGCAAAGAGGACUGCCAGGGACAGUAUAUGAACAGUUGGUCCUGAGGGACUUUGAUACCCCAGAAGGGGUAAAAUUAUAUAAUGACCUAGCUGGAGGGCUGAGUCACAAGGAAAGCACUGUGAGUCCUGGAGAGCGAGAUGGGCCAUGGAUCAAGUGACGGAAGGGGGCACUAGACUGGAUGAGAGCUGACCCCCACACCCAGCCACAAGGGGGCACCCCAGUGCUACAUUGGAAGGAAAACCUACCCCAGAAGAAUCUGGAGGAGAAAACAGUACCAACUAGCUGCAUCUCUGCUCUGGCAGUUUGUUCUAUCCCUGACAAUGGAACAAUCAAUGUUCUUCUCCAGCUGUUGGAAUCAAUGGCAGAUCCACUUCCAGCUCCCAUUAUGCAGCUCUGUCGUGGCAGUGGGAGACAGCACUUGCUACCAGAGAGUGAAGAUCUGCUAAAUCAUCAUAGAUACAAACUUUACAAGAAGACAAGGUUGGCAGAACUUGCUUCCUUCCCCCCUUAGUCAGGGCUGGCAAUGCAGACCCACAGAACACAUGAAAUUGAUACUUUGACAAACCAGCUGGCCAGGCCUGAUGUUCUUGGGCUGAAAUCAGAGUUCUCAGUCUCCUAGGGGGACUGCCUGAUUGAUGACAGAGAAAAGAGCUAAGGUCAACCAGCAGCUCUAUAGCAGAGCUAGGAGUAGAAACCAGGUCUCCUGAAUCCCAGUCCUUCACCCUUUCUACUGUACUACACUAGCUCUGCAAGAUAAAUGGAACCAAUCACAGUCAUUUAGAACCUACACGAAAAGAGUGAUUGGUCCUAAAAGAGUUCACUAUAGUCAACAUUUGUAAUGGUAAUUCCUUUUUUUAAAACUGUAUCAUGUUUUGCAGCACAGUAAAGGGACUUUGCAGUUCUGUUACCUUAUGAGGCUAGGCUGUGAAUGAGUGCAGUGUGAUCACAAUGGCCAGUACUUUCUUUAACUUUAAACAUGCGCUUAAGACCCAUUGACUUCAAUGACACUUAAGCACGUGCUUUAAGUUAAACAUCUACUUAAGUGUUUGUCUGGGUAUGGAUGCUUUCCUGGUGUGGGGUCAUUUAUUGGCAUAAUCUUGAGAAAUGCGCUAUUUAUACAAUUAGCAUGUUCAUGCUGUUGUGAUAUCUAUUUCUAAUAACUUGGGAGACACUCAGAUGCCAUGGUAAUGGGAAGCCAGAAGUAUUUCAUAACCUGCCAAGACCUAAAUGUAUGACAGAAUUUGUGACCAAAAUCCAAAAUGAAGGUAAUGCAAAAAUCAUUCAAGCAGGAAAGAAAGUGUUGCAAGAAUCAUUCCUUUGAUGUAAAUAACUCUAUACAUUCAGUUUAUUAUUAUGCAUUUCUAAUGUAUAUAAUUUUCAAUA